AAGCUUGCCGAGUGGAUAUAGUUAAAUAAUUGGUAAAGUUGACUAGAGAGCUUCAAAAUGGUAUUAAGAGUAAGGAGUUGGGGGAAGCAAUGAUAAAAAGGUCAAGGCAUCAGGUUUCCAGAGUCAAGCAAGCAAAUGAUUAGAAAGUCCAGCCACUAUCAUUAUAAGGAAGGGGAUAAAAAUUAAGGUACAAUUUCAGAUAAGAUCACAGAAAAAGAUUCAGGAAUCUGAAACCCGGAUGUUAAGGCCUCUUUAGUUGGGUUUAUCUGCUAAGGCCUCUUUAGUUGGGUUUAUCUGCUAAUAACAUCACCUUCAGUUAACCUUUUCAUUUUGGGCACUAUUCAGUUACCUUUUCUUUU
This 359-nucleotide long non-coding RNA is filed under the name Populus trichocarpa (black cottonwood). Its description in RNAcentral is "long non-coding RNA (PTRI_LNC003896)". Lineage: Eukaryota; Viridiplantae; Streptophyta; Magnoliopsida; Malpighiales; Salicaceae. The record is from RNAcentral.